CCAUCCUUAAGGUCUUGACACAAAGGUAACACAUCAGCAUCACAUUUCAAAAAUCUAAAUGCUCCCUUUUGGUUAACUUUACAUGCAUAUUUAUCUACUGUUGAGUACCUCAUAUCCUUAGCUCAAUCAUAAAAUUCAAUUAUAUGCACUUCAUCAAUGUCAGCUUGAAGUACAACUGGCCAAGUUGACCAUUUACAUACCUCAAAAUUGGGUCAGCCACUAAACACCCUAAGUGAUGAAACUGUAAUUUCACAUAAACGGCCAUUGAAACCUACAUAAAAAGGGGGACAAGUCAGAUACACUUUAACCCUAAAAAGCAAUAAACUUUAACAAAAUGGGAGACAAGAAUAUUUGGAUAUUCAAAAAAGCCCUAAUUUUUUAACCCUAAAUUCCAUAUCACUCAUGAAAAAGACAAACCCCUAAAAUAAAGUGAAGAUUUUAUAACAAAAAAACCCUAAUUUUUUAUUCCCUAACUGCCAUAUCACUCAUGAAAAAAUACAAAGCCCUAAAAUAAAGUGAAGAUUUCAUAAUUUGUGCGUGCAGACAAAAGCCCUAAUUUUAUAACCCCAAAUGCCAGAUCAGUGAUGAAAACGACAAAACAAUUGAAGAUUCGAGUGUUUUCCCAAAUAUAAAAACCCUAAUACAAAUUCUCUAAGAUGAAGAAAUAAGCAUGCAGAAAUAGAUAUCUUUCACUAACAAACAACAUUAACAUUACCUAUAUUAUUUCACAAAAAAAUAGAAGAAGAUGAUGAAAUCGACAUCAAAAUUAACCAACUAACCUUCAGAUAUAAACUUCACAGGAGCUGAAAUUUCCAUGAAAUCGACAUCAAAAUUGUUGAACUAACCUUCAGAUAUAAACUUUACAUGAGUUGAAAUUUCCAACAAAAGUCAAACAGCUUUUAAUUAAAGGAGGGGGGGCCAAAAUCGUAUGCUUUAGGAGUGAUUAAUGGAGGGGACCAGGUAAUUCGACCAUCGUAUAAGAGAGGUAGGGUUUGGUUAGAUAGAGAGAGAAAAAGAUGAAAAAUGGGGGAAGGGUUUGUUGGUCUUUGAGUAAAAGACGGGGACCCCAAAAUAAUUGGCUCUUAUUUCUCGCCUUUGACGUGUAUUGAUAUUAUUGGUCAUUUGCUGACUAGAUUGACAUGUUGGCGAAUGUGUAAUACACGCACGCAUGGUCAAGGAAAAAAUGUGUUUAUUAAUUUUGGGAUUCAGGAGUUUAAGUGUUCAAAUGAGAAAGUCGGAAAUUCAUGUAUCGGCUUUAAAACCGGCCGCAAGUUUUAAUGGCAAGGAAGCCAUUUCGCCUAGAAUAAAUAUCACCCAUCACAAGUAGACAUUUUCAACUCUUCUUCAAUCAAUUCAAUUACUUUCAUUUCCUUUACAUUCUUGCUAAUAGAAAUGACACCAGUUAGCCACUCUAAAGGCAGAUUUUUUAGGAAUUAGUCCGUGCGUUCUAAAUUUUAAUUUUUCAGGAUAAAAAUAUCAUGAGUUGUUAUAAAAUUAAGAUUUUUAUUUUAAAAUUUUAGGACAAAAUAAAUACUAACUAAUAUCUUAAUAGCAUCCAUGAGAAUGGCAAUCUGUGCACUUGUUCCUACAUUAUAAGCAUCGACAACUUUUCAUUACAUACUUUCAUAUGAAAUUCAUGUUAAUCAUAGUCUAAUUUCUCCAAAAAAAUAUUUCUCUUUAAUAUCUGACAUUAUUUGGAAAAUAAUUGGUUAGCAAACUUCAGCUGUCAUAGUUUAUCCAACUCAACUGGUUGCAAAUAAUAGAGGGGUAAUAUCACUUUUAGCCCGCGCCAAAAACUUUUCACAUAUCAUAGUCAAAAAAAGUAUAAAAUUUGUAUAAAUUAUAUAUAUAUAAACAAAUAAUAUUUUUUGUUGUUAACCAACUUUAAGAAAACUGAAACUUAAAUUAAAAUUUGGUGGGUAGGUGGGGACUCGCGUCCCUUUCUAACAUUUAUUACGUGUAGACGAAUUGAAUAUGGGGCAAAGACUUUGACAAAGUAUUGUCUACUUUUAGGGUUUGAUAGGGUGUAUAAGAAUAAUAUUGAAUAAAAUGUAUUAAUAAUAUAUGGACUAGCAAUGCAAAUAUUAGUUAUGCAUAAAUCAUUUCUUAUCCACUGUUAAGUGUAGUGUAUUAAAUAUUAAAAUGCAUUGCAUAAUUUUUAAGAAAAUUAAUUGUUUAUAAAAAUGUCCUCCAUAUUCUUUAGCUUUAAGGGACUUUAGGAUAAGUGUCUUUAACAUGCUAAUGCAUGAUUUAAUAGUUAUACGUAGGAUAAUACCAAAUAGGUUGUACAGUCAAACCUCUCUAUAACAGUCACGUUUGUUCCGAUAUUUUGUUGAUGCUAUCGUUAAGUGAUGUUAUAGAAGACAUAUAUUAUAACAUAAUAUAAAAGAAUGGUUUUGAGAAAACUUGACUUCUAUAGUGAAUGAUUGUGUUAUAUAAGGAUGAUAUUAUACAGAGGUCUAACUGUAUAACUAAUACUAGUAAUACAUAUGUCUAAAGUGUACCAAACAAGUUCGUAAUACCUAUGGGGCAAAGACUUUGACAAAGUAUUGUCUACUUUUAGGGUCUACUGAAUAAAAUGUAUUAAUAAUAUAUGGACUACCAAUGCAAGCAGUACUUAUGCAUAAAUUAUUUCUUACCCAUUAUUUAGUGUAGUGUAUUAAAUAUUAAAAUGUAUUGCAUAAUUUUUAAGAAAAUUAGUUGUUUACAAAAAUGUCCUCCAUAUUCUUUAGCUUCAAGGGACUUUAGGAUAAGUGUAUUUAACAUGCUAAUGCAUGAUUUAAUAGUUAUACAUAGGAUAAUACCAAAUAGGUUGUACAGUCAAACCUCUCUAUAACAGUCACGUUUGUUCUGAUUUUGCUGCUAUAGUUAAGUGAUGUUAUAGAGGGCAUAUAUUAUAACAUAAUAUAAAAGAACGAUUUUGAGAAAACUUGGCUUCCAUAGUGAAUGAUUGUUAUAUAAGGAUGAUAUUAUACAGAAGUCUAAUUGUAUAACUAAUACUAGUAAUACAUAUGUUGAAAGUGUACCAAACAAGGGAUUCGUAAUACCGAAAGCUUAUGCAUGCAUUAUAUGCAUUACUUUCUCUAAUGCAUCAUACCAAAUGACCCCUUAAAGUAAGGUUAUGACUGAUAACAUAAUUUAGUCUUCUAUUUUAGAAAGAAAGCAACUCCCUAUUCUUUUUCAUACAGAUCUUGUUCUCAAUUCCCAUUUUACAAAGAUGAACUACAAGAAACUAAAACCAGUCAACUAAACCAAACUUCACCUGAAGUGGAGUUUCCAGACCUCUCGAACGUUAGACGAGCCAUCUGUAACUUCAGCAACUAGAGAAGCCGCUAGAAUACCUGUUUAAGUACAAACUCCUGAGGUUAAUUUCUUGUCGAAACUCUUAAAAACGAGCAGAAAAACAUCCACCGGAAAUAAUGGAAUAACACUGACAAGUACAGUGCCCUGUAAAACCAUUUGAAGUAUAAUGCAGUCGAGCAAGCUAGCAGCGAUGGAGUCUUAUAAGUGUAUGUUUAGCCCCAGCUUUUCUAUGCCAUGAAGAACAAGUAAGGACUAUGGUGCAACGCAACCACAAGAACGCUGAUAUGAAACUUUAGGAUUGAUCGCGUGUUACACAGUGGCGAAGCCAGGAAUUUCCUCAAGGGUGUUCAAACUUGAAAUAAGUAAAAAAUAAUUCCCGACAAAGGGUGUUCGGUAUAUGUUAUGUGCCUCUAAAACAUGAUAUUUUACAUAUAUACGCAAUGUAAUUUUCCGACAAAGUGUAGCUUUGCCCCUGGCGCUACCCCGAUUGGACAUAUACUAACAGUUGUAGUAACUAGAACCCUCAUGAUAAUCCAAGAGCACUAGUCGCUCCUCUGUUUCUAGUAUGCAUAGC
Molecule: long non-coding RNA, 3877 nt
Filed under: Nicotiana benthamiana
Lineage: Eukaryota; Viridiplantae; Streptophyta; Magnoliopsida; Solanales; Solanaceae
Description: long non-coding RNA (NBEN_LNC023575)
Source: RNAcentral